GGAAUUGCUAGUAAUCGCGGAUCAGCAUGCCGCGGUGAAUACGUUCCAGGGCCUUGUACACACCGCCCGUCACACCAUGAGAGCCGGUAACACCCGAAGUCGGUAGUCUAACUUUAGAGGACGCCGCCGAAGGUGGGACUGGUGAUUGGGGUGAAGUCGUAACAAGGUAUC
RNAcentral lists this ribosomal RNA (171 nucleotides) under uncultured bacterium. RNAcentral's name for it is "partial 16S ribosomal RNA". It matches the Rfam family "Bacterial small subunit ribosomal RNA", at positions 1328 to 1500 of the family's 1533-position model. The record is from RNAcentral.